CUGGGAUAACUUCGGGAAACCGGAGCUAAUACCGGAUACGUUCUUUUCUCGCAUGAGAGAAGAUGGAAAGACGGUUUACGCUGUCACUUAUAGAUGGGCCCGCGGCGCAUUAGCUAGUUGGUGAGGUAAUGGCUCACCAAGGCGACGAUGCGUAGCCGACCUGAGAGGGUGAUCGGCCACACUGGGACUGAGACACGGCCCAGACUCCUACGGGAGGCAGCAGUAGGGAAUCUUCCGCAAUGGACGAAAGUCUGACGGAGCAACGCCGCGUGAACGAAGAAGGCCUUCGGGUCGUAAAGUUCUGUUGUUAGGGAAGAACAAGUACCAGAGUAACUGCUGGUACCUUGACGGUACCUAACCAGAAAGCCACGGCUAACUACGUGCCAGCAGCCGCGGUAAUACGUAGGUGGCAAGCGUUGUCCGGAAUUAUUGGGCGUAAAGCGCGCGCAGGUGGUUCCUUAAGUCUGAUGUGAAAGCCCACGGCUCAACCGUGGAGGGUC
This 500-nucleotide ribosomal RNA is filed under the name Peribacillus simplex. RNAcentral's name for it is "bacterial SSU rRNA". It matches the Rfam family "Bacterial small subunit ribosomal RNA", at positions 138 to 624 of the family's 1533-position model. The record is from RNAcentral. Lineage: Bacteria; Bacillati; Bacillota; Bacilli; Caryophanales; Bacillaceae.